UAAUUGGAUACUUUCUACAGGUACUAUAUAAACAGGUUUGUUCAGUUGGUGUACUAUCUGUGUAUUCCAACUGGACAGAACUUUGUGCUUUUAUUUAAAGGUAACCGGACAAUUUCAGAAACCCUAGUGUUAGGAUAAAGUCCUAAAACACGAACAGCAUACAAAUUACUUGUCAUCUGCAUACGUGACAUACAAGUUUCAUCCAACCUCUCUCUAAACCAAGCUGAGUAAAGUCUAACCCCAAACAACACCAAAACCAAGUACAAAAUAUUCACUCUGAGGUUGAAGUUUUAAAAAUUUUGAUAACUUUCUAAUACUACCCUGGAUUUGCACCAAACUUGGACAGAAGCUUGUUUAUGAUCAAAAGCUAGAAUCUAGAAGGAAAUUUAAGAAAAUAAUUGUACCUGUUUUUCUGUAUGAUAUUUAUAAAUGGACUUAGAUUUUCUUCAAGUUAACAUUACACACAGUCUGCAGUUUUUAAAACAUUUAUUAGAUUCAUACACUAUCCAGGAAUUUUACCAAACUUAGACAUGUUGGACAGAAGCUUCUUAAAAUUAACAGAUAGUAUUGAAAGGAAUAUUUUUAUUGAUUUUUUUCGUCAUUUUUGUUGAGUCUGUGAUAAACAGCAAAAGUAGGCGAG
RNAcentral lists this long non-coding RNA (640 nucleotides) under Mytilus galloprovincialis (Mediterranean mussel). The record is from RNAcentral. Lineage: Eukaryota; Metazoa; Mollusca; Bivalvia; Mytilida; Mytilidae.